UUGUUUUCUGAGAUAAAAUAUUUAUAUUAUCCAAUGUGAGGCGAACAAACUCACCCACUCUCUUCCAGUAUCCAGACUUCUCAUGUCUGUCUUUGAAGCUUCCAUUUCUUCUCACUACCCAGCCCACCUGCAUGCAGUUCAAACAACCGAAUAAUGGGCAGUCAUUAUCCUUAUAAUUUAAAAAAAGAACAGAGGACAAUCCAAGAACCCAAGGCGGCUAGUUAUGUCCAAGUGCUGCAUCACGGAUGAGUCGUCGAGGGGACAUGUGGUUCCCCUUCUUCUCUACAAAAGAAGUGCCAAAGGAAGAGUGAAAGAAAAGGAACUCAAAGACCCAGCAUG
This is a long non-coding RNA of Pogona vitticeps (central bearded dragon), 339 nucleotides long. RefSeq lists it as uncharacterized. NCBI's taxonomy places the organism in Eukaryota, Metazoa, Chordata, Lepidosauria, Squamata, Agamidae. The record is from RefSeq and is a predicted model, not a curated record.